Molecule: ribosomal RNA, 497 nt
Filed under: uncultured bacterium
Lineage: Bacteria
Description: partial 16S ribosomal RNA
Rfam family: Bacterial small subunit ribosomal RNA
Source: RNAcentral
GAUGAACGCUGGCGGCGUGCCUAAUACAUGCCAGUCGAGCGAACAGACGAGGAGCUUGCUCCUCUGACGUUAGCGGCGGACGGGUGAGUAACACGUGGAUAACCUACCUAUAAGACUGGGAUAACUUCGGGAAACCGGAGCUAAUACCGGAUAAUAUAUUGAACCGCAUGGUUCAAUAGUGAAAGACGGUUUUGCUGUCACUUAUAGAUGGAUCCGCGCCGCAUUAGCUAGUUGGUAAGGUAACGGCUUACCAAGGCGACGAUGCGUAGCCGACCUGAGAGGGUGAUCGGCCACACUGGAACUGAGACACGGUCCCGACUCCUACGGGAGGCAGCAGUAGGGAAUCUUCCGCAAUGGGUGAAAGCCUGACGGAGCAACGCCGAGUGAGUGAUGAAGGUCUUCGGAUCGUAAAACUCUGUUAUUAGGGAAGAACAAAUGUGUAAGUAACUAUGCACGUCUUGACGGUACCUAAUCAGAAAGCCACGGCUAACUACGUG